This 73-nucleotide unclassified non-coding RNA is filed under the name Escherichia coli. RNAcentral's name for it is "naRNA4". The record is from RNAcentral. Lineage: Bacteria; Pseudomonadati; Pseudomonadota; Gammaproteobacteria; Enterobacterales; Enterobacteriaceae.
GGCCUGAUAAGGCGUUUACGCCGCAUCAGGCCGCCAGCACCGAUUGCCGGAUGCGACGUAACCACAUCCGGCG